GAUGAACGCUGGCGGCGUGCCUAAUACAUGCAAGUCGAGCGAACGGACGAGAAGCUUGCUUCUCUGAUGUUAGCGGCGGACGGGGGAGUAACAUGUGGAUAACCUACCUAUAAGACUGGGAUAACUUCGGGAAACCGGAGCUAAUAACGGAUAAUAUUUUGAACCGCAUGGUUCAAAAGUGAAAGACGGUCUUGCUGUCACUUAUAGAUGGAUCCGCGCUGCAUUAGCUAGUUGGUAAGGUAACGGCUUACCAAGGCAACGAUGCAUAGCCGACCUGAGAGGGUGAUCGGCCACACUGGAACUGAGACACGGUCCAGACUCCUACGGGAGGCAGCAGUAGGGAAUCUUCCGCAAUGGGCGAAAGCCUGACGGAGCAACGCCGCGUGAGUGAUGAAGGUCUUCGGAUCGUAAAACUCUGUUAUUAGGGAAGAACAUAUGUGUAAGUAACUGUGCACAUCUUGACGGUACCUAAUCAGAAAGCCACGGCUAACUACGUG
RNAcentral lists this ribosomal RNA (497 nucleotides) under uncultured bacterium. Its description in RNAcentral is "partial 16S ribosomal RNA". It matches the Rfam family "Bacterial small subunit ribosomal RNA", at positions 28 to 507 of the family's 1533-position model. The record is from RNAcentral.